UGCUGGACAUCUUGGUCUUUACAAAAACUGCAGUAUGACUUUACUCAGACAAAGCCCAGUUAGGAGUGUGGGGGCUUGGGAGUCUGGGGGGGGAACCCCUCAAGGCUAUCCCCAGAGAAUUCUAGGCCUCUCUCACUGUCCUGUCACUCUCAGUGGCUUACUGUUUCCUUAGAAUUUGUCCACUGAAAUAUAUAGUCUUUUUUUUUCCUUUCAAGUUUAAGUUUGUAUUAUCAUUAAAGAAACCUUGAAGAAACCAGGAGCUGGUGGCUCACGCCUGUAAUCCUAGCUACUCAGAAACCUGAGACUGAGGAUCGCAAUUCAAAGCCAGACCAGGCAAAAAAGUCCACAAGACUCUUAUUCCCAAUUAACAAGCAAAAAUCCAGACAUGGAGAUGUGGCUCAAGUGGUAGAGCACUAGACUGGAGCGAAAAAGCUGAGAGCACAAGACCUAGCUCAAGCUGUAGUACUAGCACACACAUAUACAUACACACACACAAAUAUUGAAGAAGCUGUAUUUUUUUUCCUAAUUGGAAUAGAAUGAGUUACAAUAGUUGCACCUCUUCUCCAAAACACAGUCCAAAUUUGUGAGGCCAGCCGGCAUUGCUGUGGUAUUCAAGAGGUACUUAAAUUUUAGCUCCUUAAUCCCCUAACUUUACUCCCAGCAUCAGAUUCAGGUACUUGAUCCCCUUCCUCCAUCUUGCUCAUCUCUACUGUGUAGAGCC
Perognathus longimembris pacificus (Pacific pocket mouse) is the source of this 721-nucleotide long non-coding RNA. RefSeq lists it as uncharacterized. The record is from RefSeq and is a predicted model, not a curated record. The transcript has 3 exons. Lineage: Eukaryota; Metazoa; Chordata; Mammalia; Rodentia; Heteromyidae.